UGACAGGGGCAGGAACUCUUUCCACUCUGAAGGAGGAAGUCAGACCCUCAGCAGUUGCAUUCAGUCUCCAUGGUAACCAGAGUCAAAAGGGAGCCACAGUGUUUGGGGGAGGUGGCUAAGUGGUUUGCUGAGCACAUGAGGGAGGACCUGAACAGGAAUCCCCAGAUCCUAUGUGAAGCCAGGCCUGAGAGAGCAUCUGUAAUCCUAGCUUUCUUGUGAUUUCCUCACAAUAGCAAGACGGCUUCAAGAGCUCCAGGCCUCACAUCCUCCAAGGACAACGGCUAAUGCAGAAAGGAAGAAUAUCUUCACUUCUCACUACUUUUGCACCAUAGAAUCCUGCCUUGACCAGAGUAUGUAGUGGCUUCUUAUUCUUCAUCGGCCAGAUGGAGCUCAUGUCCACUCCUGAACCAAGAGACUGAGAUCACAACACAAUCCAUUUCCUGAAAAGAAAAUGAAACCAGCACCAAUAAAGGGAUAUGACUGUU
Non-coding RNA from Rattus norvegicus (Norway rat), 485 nucleotides. The record is from RefSeq and is a predicted model, not a curated record. Lineage: Eukaryota; Metazoa; Chordata; Mammalia; Rodentia; Muridae.